Molecule: ribosomal RNA, 253 nt
Filed under: uncultured bacterium
Lineage: Bacteria
Description: partial 16S ribosomal RNA
Rfam family: Bacterial small subunit ribosomal RNA
Source: RNAcentral
UACGGAGGGAGCUAGCGUUGUUCGGAAUUACUGGGCGUAAAGCGCACGUAGGCGGCUUUUUAAGUCAGAGGUGAAAUCCCGGGGCUCAACCCCGGAACUGCCCUUGAAACUGGAGAGCUAGAAUCUUGGAGAGGCGAGUGGAAUUCCGAGUGUAGAGGUGAAAUUCGUAGAUAUUCGGAAGAACACCAGUGGCGAAGGCGACUCGCUGGACAAGUAUUGACGCUGAGGUGCGAAAGCGUGGGGAGCAAACAGG